UGUGACGAUAUGGGCUACAAAAACCAUU
This 28-nucleotide non-coding RNA is filed under the name Rattus norvegicus (Norway rat). Lineage: Eukaryota; Metazoa; Chordata; Mammalia; Rodentia; Muridae. The record is from RNAcentral.